UACGGGGGGGGCAAGCGUUGUUCGGAAUUACUGGGCGUAAAGGGCUCGUAGGUUGCCAACUAAGUCGGGUGUGAAAGCCCGGGGCUCAACCCCGGAACGGCAUCCGAUACUGGCGGGCUUGAGACCGGGAGAGGAGGGUGGAAUACCCAGUGUAGAGGUGAAAUUCGUAGAUAUUGGGUGGAACACCGGUGGCGAAAGCGGCUCUCUGGCCCGGAUCUGACGCUGAGGCGCGAAAGCGUGGGGAGCAAACAGG
This 253-nucleotide ribosomal RNA is filed under the name uncultured bacterium. Its description in RNAcentral is "partial 16S ribosomal RNA". It matches the Rfam family "Bacterial small subunit ribosomal RNA", at positions 524 to 776 of the family's 1533-position model. The record is from RNAcentral.